This 490-nucleotide ribosomal RNA is filed under the name uncultured bacterium. Its description in RNAcentral is "partial 16S ribosomal RNA". It matches the Rfam family "Bacterial small subunit ribosomal RNA", at positions 30 to 507 of the family's 1533-position model. The record is from RNAcentral.
AUUGAACGCUGGCGGCAGGCCUAACACAUGCAUGUCGAACGGUAACAGGAAGCAGCUUGCUGCUUUGCUGACGAGUGGCGGACGGGUGAGUAAUGUCUGGGAAACUGCCUGAUGGAGGGGGAUAACUACUGGAAACGGUAGCUAAUACCGCAUAACGUCUCAAGACCAAAGAGGGGGACCUUCGGGCCUCUUGCCAUCGGAUGUGCCCAGAUGGGAUUAGCUAGUAGGUGGGGUAACGGCUCACCUAGGCGACGAUCCCUAGCUGGUCUGAGAGGAUGACCAGCCACACUGGAACUGAGACACGGUCCAGACUCCUACGGGAGGCAGCAGUGGGGAAUAUUGCACAAUGGGCGCAAGCCUGAUGCAGCCAUGCCGCGUGUAUGAAGAAGGCCUUCGGGUUGUAAAGUACUUUCAGCGGGGAGGAAGGGAGUAAAGUUAAUACCUUUGCUCAUUGACGUUACCCGCAGAAGAAGCACCGGCUAACUCCGUG